Long non-coding RNA from Apodemus sylvaticus (European woodmouse), 1023 nucleotides. RefSeq lists it as uncharacterized. NCBI's taxonomy places the organism in Eukaryota, Metazoa, Chordata, Mammalia, Rodentia, Muridae. The record is from RefSeq and is a predicted model, not a curated record. The transcript has 5 exons.
AACGCUUGCUGCUGCCUAGGCCCCCUCUCCAAUGUAUACAGGCCAGGGUCUCAGAGAAUGGCUCUGCCGGAAGCGGGCCUGGCUUCCCAGGUCAACUGAAGCAAUCAAGACAUCCCUCCAUGGGCGUGCCAGAGAGGUUCAUCUCUCCGUGACAGGCAGAAAGGCCUCGGAGUUCAGCCUCUUCUGCCUCUCAUCCCACCCUAGAGGGUUCGUGUUGGAACGGAGCCCGACAUUAAUAAUACGUUGGAGAGGAGAGACGAGAGCGGCACCUGCCUUGUAAUCGCGGCGCGCAGGUCUCUUUAUUUGACCAUUUUUACCAAACACUUCAGCCUUGCUAAUUGAACAACUGGAGAGCUCGAGAGCUUGGCCUCCCCACUGUGUGUUAUCUGCAGAAAAUGAGUCAGUGUGCACUGACUACGGCUUCUCAGAGUCCCUGCCCAUCACAGAGGAGGCUCCACCCCACGAGACUUAGAUCCUUCAGUGAUGUUCCAUGCGUGGAGGAAUGCGGAGGGUUGGUCUUUCCUACCUGCCCAUGACAUUAUCUCAGGCUGUCUCCAUUGCUCCAUCUCUCCAUCCUCCUGUCUGGGCCUCAUGAGUGCUGCCGUUUGCAGUGCUGGAUCAAACCCAGAGCCUGUGCAAGACAAGAACUCUCUGAGAACUACAACCACAGCUUUGGAACCCCACUAGUGUCCUUUCAAACACAAAAGGUUUUCUCCCCCCAGAUUUUGAUGAGGUCCAACACAUCUAUUUGUUAUCUUGUCUAGACUCAGUAUCACCUAAGAAACUGUCAUCUACUUCAAUGUCAAGACUCAUCCCGUAUGUACAGUUUACUGUUUUUUGUUGUUGUUGUUGUUGUGGUUGUUGUUUAAUGAGAAUUUUAGUCCUUUCUUUUUUAAAAACAGGUUUCUUUUUCACACUUUAUGUUUUUCCUUCCCCUAAGUCUUUCCAGAUCCCCCCGCUGCCCUACCCACACAACUUUGUGUUCUCUAGAUCCCUCUCUCAAAAUAAACAAUAAUACAAAAC